AGACCUUGACAGUUGUAACCGAUAGACUGGGCUGGGGCAACGCUGAUGAAAGGCAAAUUCCUGAGAGAAAAAUCACCCAGAUUUUUCAGUGCCUUCUCUAGCUUUCUAGAAGUUGUUAUGAGUGGACCUGACUACCUAGAGAGAGUAAUACAGAAGCUCCGUGCCGAUCACAGCUACCUCAUUACCAUGUUCCUCCAAGAUGGCCGCCCCUGAGGAGAAUCAUCAACUGGGCUUUACGGAAGAGAGAAAUCCAAACGACCAUCAGCAACAAAUGAAAGACUGAAGUUGAAAGGAAAUCCAUAAUUUUUGAAUGCUGGCCGAGGUCUGUGACCUCUGACUGAAUGGUUUCCAAGCUCCGAAUUCCUAGGUGAUGUUUUCAUUUGUUCACACUUGCUGAAGAAGGGAAAGGCUCUCUGAUUUACGUGUAAGCAAAACAAUCUAAACAGUAGGAUAAAAUCAUGUUGGAAUGGAGUUCUGUGUGGAUGCUCCUUUGAACCAAAUCAGUUCCACAACUGACCCUGUCAGGGACAUAUAAAUUUAGCAUUUUGGUGUGGAUACAGAAGACGAGAUUAACACAGAUCAAGUAACAUGGAAAUAAAAAAGGAGACAAUGCUGGAUGAUACAGGGGCAGCCAACAAGAGGAGAAAACCCAAGCAUUGGCAAAUGCCUCAUUAUCCAAAGAACACUGAGGUGUGGAGCAAAACUGUGUUGAAUGAACUGUAGAUGGAAAUUCUCUCCUUCCCACCGAGGAGCCGCUGCAGGUUGCAGACUCCCAGAAUGCCACACUGAGAAGAGGAGGGCUAAAAUUCUAGAGCAGAAUCCCUGGGGCAGCCCCUGCUGAAGAAGGGUGCAUCUGUUGAGAAUCUCAUCACCGCCCCCACCCCGCCCAGCCUUCAAUUUAGAGGAAUUUCUAGUUCACGCAGAAUGAAGACAAGAUCACAUAAGUGAGGACGACGCCCCAUUUACAAGUGUGAUUUGGAAGACUGAAGUGGAAACCUUGGGAAGGUGGGCCUCAGAGUAUGUCAGCUGGGGUCAGACGGGAACAGGAGUCUGGCUCAACACACAUUUAUUGCACUCCUGUUUCAUGCCAAGAAAUGUACCAAAAUCUGGGACUGUGUAACACAGCAAAGGAAAAGACUCAUCUCCAGGAAGCCCCCUUGUCUAGGAAGAGAAAUUGAAUAUCAGCAUAAGGUGGUGAAAAGCUGUGAAGGAGAUGAGUGCCAGGAGUCCAUGGAGGAAGGAUUCUAGCCUGGACAGGUGAUUGUGGUGAAUAGUCAUGAGAAUCUGGGAACUGGCUCCUGCUCUGUCUAUCUUGGAGAUGCAUCUUUUGUGAGAAGCCAGGGCAAGAAUAGGGAGGCUUAGGCAAUGGGAAGUUUCUGAGUAGAUAAAGCAGAUGGCAGAGCAAAGGGACAGAGCCUGGCGAGAGGCUACUCCCUGUAGCAACCUGCCUAAGAGUGAGAGGAAAGCAAGGCAUGGCUAUGAGCACGUGUAGUCUCAGCUACUUGGGAAGCUGAGGCUGGGGGAUCACUUGAGCCCAGGAGUUCAAGACCAGCCUAGGCAACAUAGUGAGACCAUGUCUCUUUAAAAAAAAAAAAAAAAAGAAAAA
Molecule: long non-coding RNA, 1606 nt
Filed under: Homo sapiens (human)
Lineage: Eukaryota; Metazoa; Chordata; Mammalia; Primates; Hominidae
Description: long intergenic non-protein coding RNA 1206
Source: RNAcentral